Molecule: ribosomal RNA, 305 nt
Filed under: uncultured bacterium
Lineage: Bacteria
Description: bacterial SSU rRNA
Rfam family: Bacterial small subunit ribosomal RNA
Source: RNAcentral
ACCUACGGGGGGCAGCAGCCGCGGUAAUACGUAGGGGGCAAGCGUUAUCCGGAUUUACUGGGUGUAAAGGGAGCGUAGACGGCUGUGCAAGUCUGAAGUGAAAGCCCAGGGCUCAACCCUGGGACUGCUUUGGAAACUGUGGAGCUAGAGUGCUGGAGAGGUAAGUGGAAUUCCUAGUGUAGCGGUGAAAUGCGUAGAUAUUAGGAGGAACACCAGUGGCGAAGGCGGCUUACUGGACAGUAACUGACGUUGAGGCUCGAAAGCGUGGGGAGCAAACAGGAUUAGAAACCCCAGUAGUCCAGAUC